RNAcentral lists this transfer RNA (64 nucleotides) under Dipodomys ordii (Ord's kangaroo rat). It matches the Rfam family "tRNA". Rfam says of the family: Transfer RNA (tRNA) molecules are approximately 80 nucleotides in length. Their secondary structure includes four short double-helical elements and three loops (D, anti-codon, and T loops). The record is from Rfam by way of RNAcentral. Lineage: Eukaryota; Metazoa; Chordata; Mammalia; Rodentia; Heteromyidae.
GGUGGCUCAGUGGUAGAGCGUUUGCCUUAUAUGCAUUAGGCCUUGGGUUCGUUCCUCAGCACCA